Long non-coding RNA from Centrocercus urophasianus (Greater sage-grouse), 2562 nucleotides. RefSeq lists it as uncharacterized. NCBI's taxonomy places the organism in Eukaryota, Metazoa, Chordata, Aves, Galliformes, Phasianidae. The transcript is spliced from 4 exons. The record is from RefSeq and is a predicted model, not a curated record.
UUCAGAGGAAACUGCUGUCUGCCUUAUUUAUCACCCAUGAGAUGCUUGGGCAAAUCAAGACAAUCACGUGCAAGACCUAGCAUUGUUUUCUUCAGCAGUGCAAACACUCGUUCUCUUACUUCCGCUCUCUCUGUGUGCACUUCAGGCCUCUGCUCAGUCAUGCAACAAGUUCAGUGAAGUUGGAGAUUCAUGAAAUUGGAGACUGAUUAUAUUCAUGAGUCCCUACCUGUGGCAUCCAUGAAGAACUUUGUUAUGCUUAACAAGUCAAAAAAUAUGCAACUUGGAUUAAUAUCAUUACAUACUACAACUCCUCAGGUUGGGAGUGCCUGUGUGAAUGUAACCACAGUGACGCACAGAGCUGAAGAAAGGAUGGGUCCAGCAAUUAAAUAGAAAAAGAAGAAUGCCUUAUUAAUGACCUCAGGCAAGAUGCUGAUGAGCUCUGCGUGGUGCCCCAAAGGUUAGCACGAGCUGCCUCACGUGAACAGGAAACUGGGGCAGACAGCAGAGCAUGUCUUUCACAUUUAAUGGGAUCUCGUUCUCUCCAAGAGGAACAGCAUGAAGCAAAUGGACCAUCCAGCACUGACUGCAGCUUGUGUGUGGUCUGUAACUAUGUGUGCAAUCCCAUAAGGACACCUACUCAAGAGAUAGUUUCUAUGAAGUGUUUUGGGCAAGGGGAGAGCAGCCAUGCUGGAGGCUGGUGGAAAGCAGCACCUCAGCAGCCUCCUGCCAUGUCAAGACAACACUGGUCUGCAAAUAUUUCUUGGUAAACUGUGGAGACUGUGGUGCAGAAAAGGAGAAAGAGAAAGGGUUCCUCAAAUUCAAACAUCCUCAAAUACAAGCUGGAGAUUAUUGUCUUUCCCCUGCCCCUUCCCCAUCACAGAUCACUUGGAAGACUCUGUCCUCUUGCCAUGACAGAGGUCCCAAGUGCUGACCAUUUUCGUCACCAACACAGAACGGGGAAGACGCUUGGUGAGGCCAAGUAGAAGCACUUCUCUCUGCUUUGGAAUCAGACUAUAUAUCUGGGAGAGGAAGAGGACAGAGGGAGAAAGGAACAACAAAUCCUCUUUUGCUCUGAGAUGUGCACAUGUGUUUUCUGAUGGUUACCUUAUUAUAAGUUCUUCCAUCUCACCCCUUUCACCAUUCUCUAAUAAUUCCAAUAAAUGUCAGAUCCGAUCUCAGUUAAUGAAAUGUACACCUAUUAAAUUACCAAAGUGGAAAAAUGGCCCACCCUGACUCCCUGCCUUGAGACCCAGCUGCAACGCCUGCUUUUUACCCUGCAAUCAGAUGAUUUUACCAGGUCUCAGGAAAUUUCUAGUAAAAUAAACAAAUUUUAAAAAUCCUAUGGGACUUCCAGCUUGCUUCAUGAAGGAGCCCUCAGAUGUUAUUGUAUACGAGGAGCCAUUUGGUUCAUGUGUGACUGCAAGCACUAACCAAAGGCAGCAUAAUGGGAUAGGUAUUUACAACAUAACCAUUAUCUUAUCAGAGCUUCAGGUAUAGCUGUAAAUAGCCUGUUCCAGCUGGGCAAUCUGCUGAGUUAAAUGGGUUCUACUUUUAGAAGCAGGAACUGGAGAACAUGUCCCACUUAAAUGCAGAUUCACUUGCACCCAAGGGAUGGAAACUCAAACAGCUGACCCUGGCCAUGGAGGAGGUCCGUGUUCUGUGCAGUGUUGCUCCCUCCCUCUGACGCAGCAGGCUGAGCUCACACGGUUUGCACUGCUAGCACAAGUGCUCUGUUGACAGAGUCCUGUUUGCAGCUCACCAACCGUAGAGAAUUGCAGUUCCUUGGGUGGGAGGUGAUUUUGCACAGUCAGAAAAAAAGAAAGUCAAGGCUGAAGGUGGAAGAAGAGAGACGAUUUUAGAAGAAGUGAGAACAAGAAAGGGAGAGGGCAGAGAAGGAUUGAGGAAGGAGAACAUGAAAAACAAGACUGGAGAAAGAACAAAUGUUAAAGGACAAGCUUUGCCACUGUCUCCUUGGCUGUGACCUGCCUGAAUGGGACUAAGUGUUUACUCUCUGCAUGCUGCUAUGCACUGAGUGCCAGACUGUGAAGAGAACAUUGCAAACAGACAUUAGGAGAAGGACUUGGUGUUGCUGGCUGAUGAAAAGCUCAAUUAUGAGACAGUAAUAUGCAUUUCAGCAGAGAAAAACAACUGUAUCCUGUGCUGAAUCAAAAGAAGUGUGAAGAACAGGCCAAAAGUGGUGAUUCUCCUCUUCAACUCUGCUCUUGUGAGAUCCCACCUAGAGUACUGGAUUCAGCUUUGAGCCCCUGCAGAAGAAGGAAAUGGACCUACUGGAGUGAAACCAGAGGAAGAUCUCUACAGAAUUAAAGAAAUGAGAGAAGAUGUAGUGGCAAAAUGGUGUGCAACUGCCUGUCCCAAACUCUAUCACAACCCUGGAAGUGGAUAUACAAGACCUCAGUCUUCCUAUCCAUCUGUUGAAUGCAAAUAGCUGAGAAAAUCCUACCCAGAAUGAAUGUCCUACUCAUUCCCCUUCUGUAUGGGAACUGCUGAAUCACGGCCUGAACCUCUGAUUGAUCAUCUGAGGCGAGCAAUGAGUCAGCCACA